GCUCCAGAUCUCGGUUUCUGAUAUGAUGGUCCUCUUCCAUUUUCUUUCGAAGCUCAUUGUUUUCCUGUCGGAGCUGCUCGCAGAGAGUCUAUGAAACAAAGCGCACACAUUCAGUUCCGUUCCUUUAGCUCCUGUUUGCAUACCUGAAGCAGGGAGGUCCUCUGUUCGUUCUUUUGGACCUUAGAGGAGAGAUGGUGGAACUCCACAGCCAUGCAGGCCAGGUGGGCUAACAGCUGGUUCGGAUUGGACUCCUCGGCGAAUAUGCUGAA
Cynoglossus semilaevis (tongue sole) is the source of this 269-nucleotide long non-coding RNA. RefSeq lists it as uncharacterized. The transcript is spliced from 2 exons. The record is from RefSeq and is a predicted model, not a curated record. Lineage: Eukaryota; Metazoa; Chordata; Actinopteri; Pleuronectiformes; Cynoglossidae.